UGGAGUGAUGUUUUCUUUGCUAUGAAUAAUAAUGGAAAAUUAAAAUUACUUGAAAUUGUUUGACACCAUCAUGCUCGAUUGUUUCAGUAUCCAUGAAGUUUUGGGAACGAUCACACAGCGGGAGUUAUACUGAAUGAUACCGAAGAUUGCACAACAAAAUCUGUUUGGUUUGCAUUAUCAUGGUUGGUUACGAGUUCUAGGUAGCUCUCAAUGGCAAUAUUCCUGAAUUAGUGUAAGGAGUUCUUUCAGCUUCAUAACAUUACAGGAGCAUUAUAUACAACGCAAUCUGUUCUUCCAACUGUACUCAUUUUAAUUGCAUGUAUAUAGCCAAGUGCUUUUGACAUGAAUGCAUGGAGAAUGUCAAUGUUUGCUUUGUUAUAAAAUUGGUAUUGAGAAUGUUUAUUAAUAUUAAAUGAAUGUUCCCCAA
Molecule: long non-coding RNA, 427 nt
Organism: Amblyraja radiata (thorny skate)
Lineage: Eukaryota; Metazoa; Chordata; Chondrichthyes; Rajiformes; Rajidae
Exons: 2
Source: RefSeq, a predicted model, not a curated record